UACGUAGGGGGCAAGCGUUGUCCGGAAUCAUUGGGCGUAAAGCGCGCGUAGGCGGCCCGGUAAGUCCGUUGUAAAAGUCAAAGGCUCAACCUUUGAAAGCCGAUGGAUACUGCCGGGCUAGAAUCCGGAAGAGGCGAGUGGAAUUCCUGGUGUAGCGGUGGAAUGCGCAGAUAUCAGGAGGAACACCAACAGCGAAGGCAGCUCGCUGGGACGGUACUGACGCUGAGACGCGAAAGCGUGGGGAGCGAACAGG
Molecule: ribosomal RNA, 253 nt
Filed under: uncultured bacterium
Lineage: Bacteria
Description: partial 16S ribosomal RNA
Rfam family: Bacterial small subunit ribosomal RNA
Source: RNAcentral